UUUAGUGCUAAAGCAAGAAGUAAAAACAGGAUUUAAAGAAACCAAAUGGAAUCACAGUCAUGGAGUAUCAGACCUGGACGAUGCCUUGGUGAUGAGGUGGCCCCCUUCCCUUGGCAGACCAGGGGAAGAAACUGAAGCUCUGAGGAAUUCAGGGAUGUGCUGGAGGUUCCAGAGCUAGGCCUGGAACUUUUUCCAGGGUUCAAUGCUAUGCUCAAACAGUGGAAGGAUCCCGCAGCAUGGCACAGAGCCCCUUCAGAGCUCCAGCAAUCUUGAGCUUAGCAACUGAGUAGACCCUGGAAGCCAGAGGGCUGCCUGCCGUCUCCCCAGAGAUCUCAGGACCCGUGCUGCUAAGGUGGUUCACUUGAAGGGUGUGUCCACAGUGGUUACAAGUUAGCACUGGGGCCCUGUGCCCCGGCUCCCGCAUCUCCAGGUCUGGCCUCCCUUGGCCCCUCCCUUUCCUCAGUGGCCUUGGCCUUGGCCUAUCAGUGUCUCUGCCAGGAUGUCCUCAUCCUAAGGGUGAGCUGAUAAGGCAGUCUCAUAGGAUGCAGGGUUGGAAGGUGGCUCAGGGACACUUCAGCUGAGCCCUCUGGGAAAACACCAACCCCUGCAGGAGGUGGCGGGCGGAGGGGCCCAGGCUGCACUCAGGCUCUAGGAAGUUUUAUUCUGUGUUUGCCCUCCCCAUGGGCUGCACCCUCCUCAGCACAGAGGCGGCAGCUUCCACACCUAGCACCGUGCCAGCCUUGCUGGACACUCAAGAGAGGCCUUGAGCUUUCUUUUUUCUUCUCGCUGUGGAAAUUGCCUGAUAAGCUACAAACUGUUGGUUCUUGAAUGGGCUGGCUGCCCCAGAUGUCCGAAUCCCUUGGAAGGAACCUGGAGGAGUUGGCUGAUGGGCUCCAGGUACAUGCCAGGCUGUGGGCCGUGCUGAGCCCUAGAGUCUGAGCUGCAGCUAUAUUCUGUUCUAAUUUCUGUCUCUAUAUUCUUUGUAAUUGGGCCACUCUCUUAGACAGCUGGA
This 1012-nucleotide long non-coding RNA is filed under the name Macaca mulatta (Rhesus monkey). RNAcentral's name for it is "lncRNA (ENSMMUG00000060643.1)". Lineage: Eukaryota; Metazoa; Chordata; Mammalia; Primates; Cercopithecidae. The record is from RNAcentral.